Molecule: long non-coding RNA, 321 nt
Organism: Peromyscus eremicus (cactus mouse)
Lineage: Eukaryota; Metazoa; Chordata; Mammalia; Rodentia; Cricetidae
Exons: 2
Source: RefSeq, a predicted model, not a curated record
AUGGCUCCCGCGAGCUCUGGAUCUUACUGAGUGCUUUUGUAGGCUCCUUCGAGUCUCAGUCCUCAAGUCGCCCUUAGCCUGGCAGAGGCACUGAGAGUCCUUUAUCACUGGCAGACCUUCAUGGCUGCCGGGUACCUACCAUAUUUGUGCUUCAGUUGACAAGGAGGCCAGCGGAGCCCCCCACUCUAGCUCCCUGUUACGUCAGUGAAAAUGGAAUUUCUUUGGAAUGGUGUUCAUUGUCAUGGUGCCAGGAUCUCAUCAUAAUCAACACUGCAGAGGAAAUACCAAAGGAAGCAAUAAUGAUCUGCCAUUUGUUGUAAA